This 416-nucleotide long non-coding RNA is filed under the name Helianthus annuus (common sunflower). RNAcentral describes it as "hypothetical non coding rna". The record is from RNAcentral. Lineage: Eukaryota; Viridiplantae; Streptophyta; Magnoliopsida; Asterales; Asteraceae.
GCCGCGAACGAGCGUUUGAUGAAAGACUAUUUUGACGCGGCACCGGUUCACGGACCGAAUGUUUUUAGACGACGUUUUCGGACGAGCCAAAGGUUAUUUUUGCGCAUUAAUAAUGACUUGGAAAAUACGUACGAUUUCUUUAAGCAAAGAAUGGACGCACGAGGAUAUCUAGGCUUCACCUCAAUUCAAAAGGUCACAUCCGCCUUACGCGUAUUAUCAUACGGAAACACGUACGACAUCAACGACGAGUAUUUGAAGAUGGCGGAGAAAACAACCCGAGAUACCUUGAAACAUUUUUGCUAUGGAAUAUGCCAGUUAUAUGGAAAACGUUAUUUGAGAAACCCCACUUGGAACGACCUUCAAAAAAUAUAUGAGGUGCAUCUAGAAAAGCAUGGAAUACCCGGCAUGAUUGGUAG